Molecule: non-coding RNA, 318 nt
Organism: Pelobates cultripes (western spadefoot toad)
Lineage: Eukaryota; Metazoa; Chordata; Amphibia; Anura; Pelobatidae
Source: the annotation of a GenBank genome assembly
CUUACAAAAAACAGAACGGUCACCUGCCUGUGUGAGACCUUGGGGUGAUUCCUCCCCCACCAAUGCCAUUUAACCUACUUAUCAUUUAUUGCUGGAAGAUUGACGUAUGCUUAUUUAUUAUAAAAGCCUGCAUCAAUGUAUUAAUUGCAGAUAAUUAAAUAUCUGAAGGGAGAAAAAAAAAAGUGGUAUCUUGUGCAGCCUAUUGAAUGCUGCAAACAAACUUUUUUUUUUUUUUUAAAUCAUGUCACGGCCACAGUAAUGAGAACCCCUGACAGAGGAUGCACCCCGCAGAGGUCAUGCCAGGAUUUUGGGCAUUCU